This 112-nucleotide non-coding RNA is filed under the name Microcebus murinus (gray mouse lemur). Lineage: Eukaryota; Metazoa; Chordata; Mammalia; Primates; Cheirogaleidae. The record is from RNAcentral.
GUGUUGCAUGAAAGGAAAGAAAGUUAGCACUCCACUGGACAAGGAUGGAAGAGACCCUCGGGCUUGACAACACGCACGCAGUUAAGACAUUGCCAUCUAACCACGGGUUUUU